Molecule: ribosomal RNA, 422 nt
Filed under: uncultured bacterium
Lineage: Bacteria
Description: bacterial SSU rRNA
Rfam family: Bacterial small subunit ribosomal RNA
Source: RNAcentral
GAAUCUUCCGCAAUGGGCGCAAGCCUGACGGAGCAACGCCGCGUGAAUGAUGAAGGCCUUCGGGUUGUAAAAUUCUGUCUUCUGUGAAGAACAAGUGUGAGAGUGGAAAGCUCACACCCUGACGGUAACAGAGGAGGAAGCCCCGGCUAACUACGUGCCAGCAGCCGCGGUAAUACGUAGGGGGCGAGCGUUGUCCGGAAUCACUGGGCGUAAAGCGCGCGCAGGCGGCCAUCUACGUCCGGGGUGAAAGCCCAGAGCUCAACUCUGGGAUUGCCUUGGAUACGGGGUGGCUUGAGGAUCGGAGAGGCAAGGGGAAUUCCACGUGUAGCGGUGAAAUGCGUAGAGAUGUGGAGGAACACCUGUGGCGAAGGCGCCUUGCUGGCCGAUUUCUGACGCUGAGGCGCGAAAGCGUGGGGAGCAAA